UUUGUUAUAGUUUGUGGAUUUCUGCUCACAUUCUGAUGUUAGUUUUCAUUUUAUCUACAACUAGCAUACAAUGGACACUAACAUUGCGGUCUGUCCGGUUUUCUCUAAUAGAGGCCAUAGUCGGCCUCCAGGGAAAUUAAGCUUGAAAGCUUUGGACGAAAUUAUCUGGAGCUGUGAACCUUGAAAAAGUAGUAUCGCUAAGUUAACCAUGUCAAUUACGUUAAACCCGGAGCAGUUAGGAAAAAGAUGCCAAAAUUUGUGACAUGACUACUGCCAUGU
This 279-nucleotide long non-coding RNA is filed under the name Medicago truncatula (barrel medic). RNAcentral describes it as "lncRNA gene37087". Lineage: Eukaryota; Viridiplantae; Streptophyta; Magnoliopsida; Fabales; Fabaceae. The record is from RNAcentral.